This is an RNA transcript of Gallus gallus (chicken), 1047 nucleotides long. It is a transcript of the gene named protein BTG1-like, with no coding region annotated. The transcript has 3 exons. NCBI's taxonomy places the organism in Eukaryota, Metazoa, Chordata, Aves, Galliformes, Phasianidae. The record is from RefSeq and is a predicted model, not a curated record.
GGGCGGAGCGGCGCGGCGGCGCUAGCGGCGGGCCGGGGCCGGAGCGGCGGCGAGCGGCGGCCGAGCGGCCAUGAGAACCGAGAUCUCCACGGCUGCGGCGUUCGUCACCCGCCUCCUGCGGGCCGCCGGCGGUAUCGGCGAGGAGCAGCUGCGGUGCUUCCGGGAGUGCCUGCAGGAGGCGCUGCGCGAGCACUACAAGCACCACUGGUUCCCCACGGCGCCGACCAAGGGCUCCGGGUACCGGUGCAUUAGGAUCAACCAUCAGAUGGACCCGCUGAUAGGCAAGGCGGCGGCGAUGAUCGGACUGAGCCACGAGAGACUCUUCCAGCUCUUGCCCAGCGAACUGACUCUUUGGGUCGACCCUUUCGAGGUGUCCUAUCGGAUAGGCGAGGACGGCUCUAUCUGCGUCCUCUAUGAAAGCCCGCAGCCCGGGGCGAAGGCGAGCAAAGCCCUGGAGAGCAGGAGCAGCUGUAAGGAGAAGUGGAGAACUGGCCGGUCCAGCCCGUCCGAGAGUUACAACAUGAUGACAGUUUCUAGUUAGAAGUUACUGUUCCUUGUACAAUUAUGUAUGUAUCCCAGUUCUGUGAUAAACUUAAUUGUAACGGAGGUCUCGGUUCUUUUUUUUUUUUAAUUAGUAGCAACGGUAGUUUUCACCCCGUGUCAUUCAAGCUGUAAUCGUACUGCCAAUCCUGUGUGGCCAAGGGCUAACGUGUACAGCACGUCUGCAGUCUGCCUGUUCCUCGGGAUCAUGUCCUGAAAAAAAGCAACAGAAAAACAAACUCAAUUUGAAAGCAAUAACACAAAGGGGGAUUUAAAAGGGAAGCGACGAGCUGCACAUCGAUCUCCACUGACUUGUCUGCACAGACUUUUCUCAGGGUCAUUCAAGUUUGGCUGCAGGGCACGAAUCACAGAAGUAUUUUUUACCUUUUUCAAAGCAUGUGUUCAUUUGGGAGCCGGGUCUCAUCACGUCCUGACAGAAGGGGUGGGGAAUUUGUCUAUCUUAUUUCUAGUUGGCGAAGUAGAAUAAUAAAGACUUGCUCAAACUGC